This 2993-nucleotide long non-coding RNA is filed under the name Amborella trichopoda. RNAcentral describes it as "long non-coding RNA (ATRI_LNC001417)". Lineage: Eukaryota; Viridiplantae; Streptophyta; Magnoliopsida; Amborellales; Amborellaceae. The record is from RNAcentral.
UUAGUUUGGCUUCAACUUGACAAUAUUUUUAGUUAUUGGGUCGUCAAAUAUGGGACCAUUACUCCCAUUUCCUUCCAAGAAGACAACCAAUAGCGACAGAUGAGAGAAUAUCAGAUAUGACACCAAUCUAGAUCAUUAGAGCACAAAAGGUCUAAAAGAAAUGUUGGCAUUGUGCAUUAAACAUAAAAAAAAGAUUUAUAGAAAUUUAAGGAAAAAUAGAAGACUGGGGUGAGAGAGAGAAAGAGAGAGAGAUUUUAAUGCAAACAAAGAAAGAGCUCACUUUAGAUGGUGAGUGAAAGAUAGCUCAAUAUAUUCUAAAAGAACAUUGAGAUAGCAUAAAGUAAACUAAAAGCAAACACAUGCACUCACACAACAUGCUAAUCACUAUCAUAACCACUAGAUUAAUGCAUACAAAGAAGGAGCUCACUUUAGAUACUAAGUGAAAGAUAGCUCAAUACAUUCUAAAAGAAUAUUGAGAGAGCAUAAAAUACACUAAAAGAAAGCACACACACACAGAGCUAUGCUAAUCACUAUCAUAACCACUAGAUAGUAAAAUAUAGUUUUUCGGGCUGCAUCAAAUCAAACUGUACAGUAUUGGUGAUGAUCCUAGAUGGGCUACCUGAUUGCCGGCCCAUAAACAUUCUUACAUGAAUUUAUUUAUUCAUAUACAUAAAUUUUCAUUCCAAGAUUACAAAACCAAACAAUUAUGGCACUCCAGAGACAAACUGUUCUGGCACAAAAUUUGUUCUUUUCAAUCCCAAUUCUAAUAAAUUACAUCAAAACAGGGCAAUAUAGAAGCCUGCAAUUGAAUCAAAUCUACCACAAAAGCCAUCCACAGUUACUUCUUGGUUCUUUUUUACUCUCCUUGCAAUCAGCUGACAAACCAACAUUGCCUCACCUCCCCCAAGGGAAACAUGACCAAGUCUAACGGGUGAUAGCAGAAAAACAAAGUUAUUUCUUUUGAGGGAAAAAUUACUUCAGCAGGCGUCACAUAACAUCAUUCAUAUAAUAAUAUCAAACACAAGGCAUAAGAUAGACCAUUAAACUAUGAUGAUAAAACAAAAAGCCAAAAUAUAACAAUAAAAUCUCCAUAUAAGUUAUGCUUUAGCAAAUAAAUCUUUUCAGGAGUAUUUUUGCAAUAACAUCAUUGAAUUAUCAGUCGCAUCCUCAUCAACAUUUCUAUUAAGUGAAAGCCAACUUCAUUAAAGUGUGCCAUUUCAAAACUUUUUUGAUUUGGCAGCAUGAGUUCAUCACUAUUUUCCAUAUGUAAUGGAUCAAAUAGCUUUAGUGCCAUUUCAGUCAGAUGAAAAUUUAUCUAUAGAAAAUAGUGUAGACACAUCAUUUGCACUUUGUUUUUACAUGAGGUGGUUGUUUUAUCACCCUCAUGUCAUGUAAACAUCCAUUUAAUGUGUUCUUUUUCUUUUGACACCUUUUUAAAUGAGGUGUUACAAAGGUUUGCCUCUCCCUCUCAUUUUAAUCGAAUUCUCUCUACCACUAAGGCCCUUUACGGGCUCAAUUAAAGUAAGGGGCCUUUCUGUUAGCGGGAAGCCUUACAGUGAACUCUUUCUCUUUCUCUCUCUAAGUUCAUAGGCUAUCUCCCUCACUAAUUUUGAUAGAAGUUAUGGAUGAUUUUCUCUCAAUGAACUAGAUUACUAUCUUGUGACAUCACGAAGUGAGUGAUUGAUUUUGUUAAAUGUACGAUUUUGUUUUGCUCUCUAAGUGCUUUGUUGCCAUUCGGUAAGUUUUUUGAAUUUAACAUAAUUUAUAUAAUAUUUUUCCAUGUGUUAUGUACCCAAUCGAUAUUUGUAUUUUACCGAUUGGAAGAAUAAUUUUUUAGUAAGAGAGAUGCUGCUCCCCAUCGAUGUUUCAUUGUAGUAUACCGAUUGGAAAAUAGACUUUGUAUUAAGAGAUAGAAGUUUGUCAUCGUAAUCGAUGUUUAUAUUAUCCUGAUUGGAUGAUGAACUUUGUAGCGAGAGAGAGAGUUUGUCAUCCUAAUCAUUGUUUGUAUUAUAUCGAUGGGAUGAUGAUUUUUGUAGUAAGAGAUAAAUUUGUUUCUAAAUUGAUGUCUGUAAUAUCAUAUCAAGUGGAAAGACGUAUCAUUAUUUUUGUGAUUGUGGUUUAUAUGGGUCUUAUGAGUGUGCAACUCAAAGACUCAAGAUUUGUAUUCCGAUCUGGCUAUAUCCUGAGAGUGUAAUCGUCGGGAUCUUUUUACACCUCGAAAUUUUAUCGAGACGGGAGCGCUUAGCACUUCAAAAAAAAAGAUAGCAUCUCAUGCCUCUAGAUCCCCUAUUUUGGUCCCAAUUAUGUGGGAGUUUAUGUCCAUAUGUUUUGUCAGCCACGGUGAAACCCCAUACAACCAACAAUUAGAGGGAGAGAGAGAGUAAACGUUACUUUCAUGUUAUUAGCGAGAGAGAGUGAGCCCGCUCUUUCUAAUGUGUGUGUGAGAGAGAGAGGGAGAGAGAGAGGGCGGAGAGAGAGUCUCUAAUAGGAAUAUUUUAUGGUCAUUAGGAGGGGUGUGAUAUCUAACUGCCACCCAAAGAUUCUUAGUAAAAAAGAUAAGGAUGUCUGACUACUUGUUUAAAAUUUUGCUGGCAUAUUAGAAUAAUACAAGCAAAUAUCAAUGAUUUAUCACAUACUUUUAGAUGUAGAACUUAUGAAAACUUGAAUAUCUUGAAAAUUGAGUCCAAAAAUGCGUUACAAGAUGCACUAUUUUCAAAACUUGAAAUCUAUUUUUUCUCAUGUGCAUGCAUCUUGAUGUCGAGAUGAUCAAUUUGAAGAUAUUUGGGCAUCAAAACAACCUCUUCUCAUUAAAGUUUUGAGGUGAACUCUAAUUUGAUUGUUUAGAGCCUCGGCUUUAUAUAAACAUUUUCCGUAUAUAUAUAUCAAGGUUUAAAAAAUUGGAUUGGUGACCUGGAUCGUCCUUACCUAUGCCCUUAUUUGAUCAGAGAAUCGGCCGAAUCAGCAAGUUUUAUCCCAAAAAGUUUUCAAAAAAU